GACGUAGGAUGCAAGCGUUGUCCGGAAUUAUUGGGCGUAAAGAGUUCGUAGGCGGUUUUGUUAAGUCUGGUGUUAAAUACGGGAGCUCAACUCCCGCAUGGCAUUGGAUACUGGCAGGCUAGAGUGCGGUAGAGGUCUCGGGAAUUCCAGGUGUAGCGGUGAAAUGCGUAGAUAUCUGGAGGAACACCGGUGGCGAAAGCGCGAGACUGGGCCGUAACUGACGCUGAGGAACGAAAGCCAGGGGAGCGAACAGGG
RNAcentral lists this ribosomal RNA (255 nucleotides) under uncultured bacterium. Its description in RNAcentral is "partial 16S ribosomal RNA". It matches the Rfam family "Bacterial small subunit ribosomal RNA", at positions 524 to 777 of the family's 1533-position model. The record is from RNAcentral.